Podarcis muralis (Common wall lizard) is the source of this 281-nucleotide non-coding RNA. NCBI's taxonomy places the organism in Eukaryota, Metazoa, Chordata, Lepidosauria, Squamata, Lacertidae. The record is from RefSeq and is a predicted model, not a curated record.
GAGCUGCAUUCUGUGGCUGCAAUUCCUUGGACGAGGAUAAUAUUUGUAAAUGCUGCAAAUUUUGACUUCGGAGAAAAAUGAAUCUGUUCUGUUUUUCACUGGAGGGCUCUAUGGAUAGUUUAUAUGAACCAGUUAAGGAAAAUCAAGACCCACAUGAGACCAUUUGCAUGACUAGCAGGGCUAACACCCCAGUAAUUGCCUCUGCGAAAUGUGGACCUCCCGAAAGAUCUCAGUCUUUGGAAUUUUCUGAUAUUGAAAACACAUUGAUGAAAAAAAGACAG